UAUGUGAUCGUCUCUCGCAUAUCAAUAAGCGGAGGAAAAGAAACUAACAAGGAUUCCCCUAGUAACGGCGAGUGAAGCGGGAAGAGCUCAAAUUUGAAAUCUUAAAGGGUUUCCCUUUACGAAUUGUAGUUUAAAGAAGUGUUUUCUGUUGAGGUUUUGGUAAAAGUUCUUUGGAAUAGGACAUCAUAGAGGGUGAGAAUCCCGUAUUUGACCUUUACUUUCAACUUUGUGAUACACUUUCAAAGAGUCGGAUUGUUUGGGAAUGCAGUCCAAAAUGGGUGGUAAAUUUCAUCUAAAGCUAAAUAUUGGCGAGAGACCGAUAGCGAACAAGUACCGUGAGGGAAAGAUGAAAAGAACUUUGAAAAGAGAGUUAAACAGUACGUGAAAUUGUCAAAAGGGAAGCGUUUGACACCAGUGUUGUUUUUCUGAAAAUCAAUUAAAGAACUGUUUAUGCUAAGUUGUUUAGACUUUAUCAGCUAUCUGUUUAGUUCUAGGCUUUUCUUUAAUGCACUUUUCAGUUAACAAGUCAACAUCAAUUUCUUUUGCUGUAAAAAAGCUUGAGGAAGGUGGCUUGAGAUUCGUCUUAAGUGUUUAUAGCCUCUUGCCUAUGCAGUCGGAGAGAUUGAGGUCUGCAGCGUAGAUCCUUCGGGGCUAAAUGCAUUUGUGCUAAGUUAUAGCAUUUUAUAGACAACUUGUUGACUAUGAUUUGUCUUGUAGCUUACUCGCUUAUGUUAUUUUACCUACGCUUAGGAUGUUGAUCUACAGAGCGAGAGU
RNAcentral lists this ribosomal RNA (774 nucleotides) under uncultured Neocallimastigales. RNAcentral describes it as "partial large subunit ribosomal RNA". It matches the Rfam family "Eukaryotic large subunit ribosomal RNA", at positions 24 to 635 of the family's 3401-position model. The record is from RNAcentral. Lineage: Eukaryota; Fungi; Neocallimastigomycota; Neocallimastigomycetes; Neocallimastigales.